GGGUUAGUAACGCGUGGGAAUAUACCCUUCACUAUGGAAUAGCCUCGGGAAACUGAGAGUAAUACCAUAUACGCCCUUCGGGGGAAAGAUUUAUCGGUGAAGGAUUAGCCCGCGUAAGAUUAGAUAGUUGGUGGGGUAAUGGCCUACCAAGUCUACGAUCUUUAGCUGGUUUUAGAGGAUGAUCAGCAACACUGGGACUGAGACACGGCCCAGACUCCUACGGGAGGCAGCAGUGGGGAAUCUUGGACAAUGGGCGAAAGCCUGAUCUAGCCAUGCCGCGUGAGUGAUGAAGGUCUUAGGAUCGUAAAGCUCUUUCGCUAGGGAUGAUAAUGACAGUAUCUGGUAAAGAAACCCCGGCUAACUCCGUGCCAGCAGCCGCGGUAAUACGGAGGGGGUUAGCGUUGUUCGGAAUUACUGGGCGUAAAGCGCACGUAGGCGGAUUAGUAAGUUAAGGGUGAAAUCCCAGGGCUCAACCCUGGAACUGCCUUUAAUACUGCUAGUCUUGAGUUCGAGAGAGGUAAGUGGAAUUCCAAGUGUAGAGGUGAAAUUCGUAGAUAUUUGGAGGAACACCAGUGGCGAAGGCGGCUUACUGGCUCGAAACUGACGCUGAGGUGCGAAAGUGUGGGGAGCAAACAGGAUUAGAUACCCUGGUAGUCCACACCGUAAACGAUGAAUGCCAGACGUCAGCAAGUAUACUUUGG
This 701-nucleotide ribosomal RNA is filed under the name uncultured bacterium. RNAcentral describes it as "bacterial SSU rRNA". It matches the Rfam family "Bacterial small subunit ribosomal RNA", at positions 104 to 840 of the family's 1533-position model. The record is from RNAcentral.